GCUCUUGUAGCUCAGCCUGGAUAGAGUGUUUCCCUCCUAAGGAAAAAGUCGCAGGUUCAAAUCCUGCCAAGAGCG
RNAcentral lists this transfer RNA (75 nucleotides) under archaeon. Its description in RNAcentral is "tRNA-Arg". It matches the Rfam family "tRNA". Rfam says of the family: Transfer RNA (tRNA) molecules are approximately 80 nucleotides in length. Their secondary structure includes four short double-helical elements and three loops (D, anti-codon, and T loops). The record is from RNAcentral.